Molecule: unclassified non-coding RNA, 317 nt
Filed under: uncultured fungus
Lineage: Eukaryota; Fungi
Description: partial contains 5.8S ribosomal RNA and internal transcribed spacer 2
Rfam family: 5.8S ribosomal RNA (bases 1-133)
Source: RNAcentral
UGGUUCUGGCAUCGAUGAAGAACGCAGCGAAAUGCGAUAAGUAAUGUGAAUUGCAGAAUUCAGUGAAUCAUCGAAUCUUUGAACGCACAUUGCGCCCCCUGGUAUUCCGAGGGGCAUGCCUGUUCGAGCGUCAUUACAACCCUCAAGCCUGGCUUGGUAUUGAGCUUCGCUAUUUAUCUAGCGGGCUUAAAAAUCAGUGGCAGUAUCGUCGAGGUCCUGAGCGUAGUAAAUCUCCUCGCUAUAGAAACCCGGCACUUACUCGCCAUCAAUACCAACUUUCUUAGUUUGACCUCGGAUCAGGUAGGGAUACCCGCUGA